Molecule: long non-coding RNA, 968 nt
Organism: Hipposideros armiger (great roundleaf bat)
Lineage: Eukaryota; Metazoa; Chordata; Mammalia; Chiroptera; Hipposideridae
Exons: 2
Source: RefSeq, a predicted model, not a curated record
AUAGGUGUUCCCGCCCCACCCUGCAGGCUGUGCGCGAGCGCGGUGGGCGUGGGUUCCGCGGCGUAGAAGCCGAGUAGGCGGGACUCGCUGUCCGCGCGGCUGAGCUGGCGCUUGAGCCGCGCUCUUGUCGGGGCGGGGGCGCCCCGGGGGUGGCGUCCCGGGGGAGAGGGGCGCUGUGGACUUGGGCUUACCGGCGUUAGCGUGCGGGCGGUUUGCUGCCUGCGUUACCGUGAUUUUCUGACGCCCCGUCGGGUGGAGGGGCGGCUGCUGGGCUCCUAGGCUGCGGUCGGAGAUGCUGCGAGGAGGGACCCAAGGUCAGCGAGGCUGGGCGUCGUUCUCGCUCCCUGUCCCCGGGCUCGGGUCCUCCGCUGGCCCGCGGAGAUGUUGAGCAGCACGAGCCCAGGUCGUGGCUUCGGCGGGCCUGUGGGAAGGGCUAGGCCCAGCGCUCCCUGUGCUGAAGACUGUCCUUGCGGAACACAACCCCCACGCCCACCCCGAACGAGUCUCGGCAUCCUUAGCUUUGUAUGUGCUGCCUGCCGCGUGUUAUCCCUAAGGCCUGGGAUUGAACCAAGGCGGACACCCUUGUGGCGUUAACGAAAGAAGUCGUACAAGGCAAGCCUCCCUGAGCAGCAGCAGUUCUGUGCAACUUCCCUGCGUUGCCUUGGAACACACUGGUGCAACAUGAGACCGAAAAUUCUGCGUAAGGAAAUCGAGGAACACUCAGACUGAGGAAGGUCACGGGGCUUACAUCUCCUGGUGGCAGCACCUCUUCCUGUGGGACAGAGGAAGAUGAAAACCACUCAGAAAGCUACUUAUUGGGCCUGGAUUAGAGCAAAGGGAGGUUGAAACUUCGUUUUUAAUUUUUUAUUAAGAAUUUCCAAACACACGUAAAAGAAUUGUUAUAGUGAACAUCUGUAUGCUUAUCAUCAGAUUCAACAAUAAAUUUUUUGCCUUUUUGGGUUCACUGA